GACGAACGCUGGCGGCGUGCUUAACACAUGCAAGUCGAACGGAAAGGCCCUGCUUUUGUGGGGUGCUCGAGUGGCGAACGGGUGAGUAACACGUGAGUAACCUGCCCUUGACUUUGGGAUAACUUCAGGAAACUGGGGCUAAUACCGGAUAGGAGCUCCUGCUGCAUGGUGGGGGUUGGAAAGUUUCGGCGGUUGGGGAUGGACUCGCGGCUUAUCAGCUUGUUGGUGGGGUAGUGGCUUACCAAGGCUUUGACGGGUAGCCGGCCUGAGAGGGUGACCGGCCACAUUGGGACUGAGAUACGGCCCAGACUCCUACGGGAGGCAGCAGUGGGGAAUAUUGCACAAUGGGCGGAAGCCUGAUGCAGCAACGCCGCGUGCGGGAUGACGGCCUUCGGGUUGUAAACCGCUUUCGCCUGUGACGAAGCGUGAGUGACGGUAAUGGGUAAAGAAGCACCGGCUAACUACGUGCCAGCAGCCGCGGUGAUACGUAGGGUGCGAGCGUUGUCCGGAUUUAUUGGGCGUAAAGGGCUCGUAGGUGGUCGAUCGCGUCGGAAGUGUAAUCUUGGGGCUUAACCCUGAGCGUGCUUUCGAUACGGGUUGACUUGAGGAAGGUAGGGGAGAAUGGAAUUCCUGGUGGAGCGGUGGAAUGCGCAGAUAUCAGGAGGAACACCAGUGGCGAAGGCGGUUCUCUGGGCCUUUCCUGACGCUGAGGAGCGAAAGCGUGGGGAGCGAACAGGCUUAGAUACCCUGGUAGUCCACGCUGUAAACGGUGGGUACUAGGUGUGGGGUCCAUUCCACGGGUUCCGUGCCGUAGCUAACGCUUUAAGUACCCCGCCUGGGGAGUACGGCCGCAAGGCUAAAACUCAAAGGAAUUGACGGGGCCCCGCACAAGCGGCGGAGCAUGCGGAUUAAUUCGAUGCAACGCGUAGAACCUUACCUGGGUUUGACAUGGAUCGGGAGUGCUCAGAGAUGGGUGUGCCUCUUUUGGGGUCGGUUCACAGGUGGUGCAUGGCUGUCGUCAGCUCGUGUCGUGAGAUGUUGGGUUAAGUCCCGCAACGAGCGCAACCCUUGUUCACUGUUGCCAGCACGUUAUGGUGGGGACUCAGUGGAGACCGCCGGGGUCAACUCGGAGGAAGGUGGGGAUGACGUCAAGUCACCAUGCCCCUUAUGUCCAGGGCUUCACGCAUGCUACAAUGGCUGGUACAGAGAGUGGCGAGCCUGUGAGGGUGAGCGAAUCUCGGAAAGCCGGUCUCAGUUCGGAUUGGGGUCUGCAACUCGACCUCAUGAAGUCGGAGUCGCUAGUAAUCGCAGAUCAGCAACGCUGCGGUGAAUACGUUCCCGGGACU
This 1346-nucleotide ribosomal RNA is filed under the name uncultured bacterium. RNAcentral describes it as "partial 16S ribosomal RNA". It matches the Rfam family "Bacterial small subunit ribosomal RNA", at positions 28 to 1381 of the family's 1533-position model. The record is from RNAcentral.